This 253-nucleotide ribosomal RNA is filed under the name uncultured bacterium. RNAcentral's name for it is "partial 16S ribosomal RNA". It matches the Rfam family "Bacterial small subunit ribosomal RNA", at positions 524 to 776 of the family's 1533-position model. The record is from RNAcentral.
GACAGAGGAGCCAAGCGUUGUCCGGAUUUAUUGGGCGUAAAGAGCGUGUAGGCGGCUAGGAAGGUCCGUUGUGAAAACUCGAGGCUCAACCUCGAGACGCCGAUGGAAACCAUCUAGCUAGAGUCCGGAAGAGGAGAGUGGAAUUCCUGGUGUAGCGGUGAAAUGCGCAGAUAUCAGGAAGAACACCCGUGGCUAAGGCGGCUCUCUAGUACGGUACUGACGCUGAGACGCGAAAGCGUGGGGAGCGAACAGG